RNAcentral lists this ribosomal RNA (435 nucleotides) under uncultured bacterium. Its description in RNAcentral is "partial 16S ribosomal RNA". It matches the Rfam family "Bacterial small subunit ribosomal RNA", at positions 28 to 507 of the family's 1533-position model. The record is from RNAcentral.
GAUGAACGCUGGCGGUAUGCUUAACACAUGCAAGUCGAACGGACUCUUCGUAGUUAUUGGCGGACGGGUGAGUAACGCGUGAGAAUCUGGCUUUGGGUUCGGGACAACCACUGGAAACGGUGGCUAAUACCGGAUGUGCCUAAUAGGAAAAGAGAAAUUGCCUGAAGAUGAGCUCGCGUCUGAUUAGCUAGUUGGUGAGGUAAAGGCUCACCAAGGCAGCGAUCAGUAGCUGGUCUGCGAGGAUGACGAGACACACUGGGACUGAGAGACGGCCCAGACUGCUACGGGAGGCAGAAGUGGGGAAUUCUCCGCAAUGCGAGGAAGCGUGACGGAGCAAUACCGCGUGAGGGAAGAAGGCUCUUGGCUUGUAAGAAUCUUCUCUUAGGGAAGAACAGAAUGACGGUACCUAAGGAAUAAGCGUCGGCUAACUACGUG